Molecule: ribosomal RNA, 440 nt
Filed under: uncultured bacterium
Lineage: Bacteria
Description: partial 16S ribosomal RNA
Rfam family: Bacterial small subunit ribosomal RNA
Source: RNAcentral
CCUACGGGAGGCAGCAGUGGGGAAUAUUGCACAAUGGGGGAAACCCUGAUGCAGCGACGCCGCGUGAGUGAGGAAGUUUUUCGGUUUGUAAAGCUCUGUCAGCAGGGAAGAAAAUGACGUUACCUAACUAAGAAGCCACGGCUAACUACGUGCAAGCAGCCGCGGUCAUACGGAGGGGGCGAGCGUUAUCCGGAUUUACUGGUGGUAAAGGGAGGGUAGACGGUUAAUCAAGUCAGAAGUGAAAACCCAGUGCUUAACCUGGGGACUGCGUUUGAAACUGAGGAGCUAGAGUGUAGGAGAGGUAAGCGGAAUUCCUAGUGUAGCGGUGAAAUGCGUAGAUAUUAGGAGGAACACCAGUGGCGAAGGCGGCUUACUGGACUGUAACUGACGUUGAGGCUCGAAAGCGUGGGGAGCAAACAGGAUUAGAUACCCUAGUAGUC